RNAcentral lists this ribosomal RNA (585 nucleotides) under uncultured bacterium. RNAcentral describes it as "bacterial SSU rRNA". It matches the Rfam family "Bacterial small subunit ribosomal RNA", at positions 54 to 647 of the family's 1533-position model. The record is from RNAcentral.
CAUGCAAGUCGAACGAGGCCCUCUUCCUUCGGGAGGAGGUGUCCUAGUGGCGAACGGGUGAGUAACACGUUGGUGACCUACCCCGAAGAGGGGGACAACCCCGGGAAACUGGGGCUAAUACCCCAUGUGAUCCUAAGGAUUAGAUGCCUAAGGAUGAAAUGGAGCAAUUCGCUUCGGGAGGGGCCUGCGGCCUAUCAGCUAGUUGGUGAGGUAAUGGCUCACCAAGGCGACGACGGGUAGGGGACCUGAGAGGGUGACCCCCCACACUGGAACUGAAACACGGACCAGACACCUACGGGUGGCAGCAGUAGGGAAUAUUGCACAAUAGGCGAAAGCCUGAUGCAGCAACGCCGCGUGCGCGAUGAAGGCCUUAGGGUUGUAAAGCGCUUUUCUGGGGGAAGAGAAAGGACGGUACCCCAGGAAUAAGUCUCGGCUAACUACGUGCCAGCAGCCGCGGUAAAACGUAGGAGGCAAGCGUUAUCCGGAUUUACUGGGCGUAAAGCGCGUGCAGGCGGUUUGGUAAGUCGGACGUGAAAGCUCCCGGCUCAACUGGGAGAGGCCGUUCGAAACUACCAGGACUAGAGG